UCAAGUCCCUCUUCGAGAGAUUGAGAACGUGUAACAUUAACCGUCGUGAGCGAGCACGUAUUGCGAGCGCAAUUCUGCUUUCCAGAUGGAUGUCGUUUUGCCGCAUCGGGCUUGCUUCCUUCGAAGCAGGAAAGAGUGCGGGAAUAAAGACCUCGGCGCGGUUUGCGCCAAGGACGGAUGUUGUUGGAGUGCAUCGCCUACUUUAUGUGGUGCGGUGUAUCCUCCUACCGAUGUGAGAAAGUGCAUGACUCUUGGCAACGGAUAUCUAGGCUCUCGCGUCGAUGAAGAACGUAGCAAAAUGCGAUACUUGGUGUGAAUUGCAGAAUCCCGUGAACCAUCGAGUCUUUGAACGCAAGUUGCGCCUAAGACCGUCAGGUCAAGGGCACGUCUGCUUGGGCGUCGCGCCUUACGUCACUCCAAACCCCCCCGGUAAGGGUGUGUGCGGAUGUGGAUAGUGACCCUUCGUGCUUUCGCUGCGCGGUGGGUUUGAGUGAUGGCCGUUGCUAGGUUUUGCACUCGGCGAAUGGUGGGUUAGAGUAUGCGCCUCCAGCUGUGCACAUGACUCCUAGCCGCGGCUUACAAGAAAUAAAACCCAUGACGAUGUUUGCACAGCCUGCAAGCUCGGACC
This 628-nucleotide unclassified non-coding RNA is filed under the name Allium trifoliatum subsp. hirsutum. RNAcentral's name for it is "sequence contains ITS1, 5.8S rRNA gene and ITS2". The stretch from base 247 to 402 matches the Rfam family "5.8S ribosomal RNA". Lineage: Eukaryota; Viridiplantae; Streptophyta; Magnoliopsida; Asparagales; Amaryllidaceae. The record is from RNAcentral.